UAUAUGAAGUCGGAAUUGCUAGUAAUCGCAGAUCAGCAUGCUGCGGUGAAUACGUUCCCGGGCCUUGCACACACCGCCCGUCACACCAUGAGAGUCGAUAACACCCGAAGCCUGUAGUCUAACCAUAAGGGGGACGCAGUCGAAGGUGGGAUUGAUAAUUAGGGUGAAGUCGUAACAAGGUACC
RNAcentral lists this ribosomal RNA (184 nucleotides) under uncultured bacterium. RNAcentral describes it as "partial 16S ribosomal RNA". It matches the Rfam family "Bacterial small subunit ribosomal RNA", at positions 1317 to 1500 of the family's 1533-position model. The record is from RNAcentral.